Molecule: long non-coding RNA, 180 nt
Filed under: Pseudonaja textilis
Lineage: Eukaryota; Metazoa; Chordata; Lepidosauria; Squamata; Elapidae
Description: Nuclear RNase P (ENSPTXG00000000563.1)
Rfam family: Nuclear RNase P
About the family: Ribonuclease P (RNase P) is a ubiquitous endoribonuclease, found in archaea, bacteria and eukarya as well as chloroplasts and mitochondria. Its best characterised activity is the generation of mature 5'-ends of tRNAs by cleaving the 5'-leader elements of precursor-tRNAs.
Source: Rfam by way of RNAcentral
CCUAGAGGAAGCUCUCCGUAGAGGCCACGUGCUGGGUGUCCAUCACCCUUUGUCCCGCCUCUGGGAAGGUCUGAGAGAAGGGCCAAGUUUGCCACCCUAGAGGGGUGCCACCUUCUGAAGGUGGGGGAGUUCCCAGGAAUCCCAGCAAUGCACCCAGACAGAAAAAGACAUUCACAUAGG